Molecule: ribosomal RNA, 253 nt
Filed under: uncultured bacterium
Lineage: Bacteria
Description: partial 16S ribosomal RNA
Rfam family: Bacterial small subunit ribosomal RNA
Source: RNAcentral
GACAGAGGGUGCAAACGUUGCUCGGAAUUACUGGGCGUAAAGCGCGUGUAGGUGGACCGGCAAGUCAGACGUGAAAGCCCUGGGCUCAACCCAGGAAUUGCAUUUGAAACUGCUGGUCUUGAGUGGCGGAGAGGAUCGUGGAAUUCCUGGUGUAGAGGUGAAAUUCGUAGAUAUCAGGAGGAACACCGGUGGCGAAGGCGGCGAUCUGGACGCUUACUGACACUGAGACGCGAAAGCGUGGGGAGCAAACAGG